UGUCCCUUCCGUCCGGGUCUCAGGCUGGGCAGAAAGAAGGGUCGGGAGAGUGAGUCACAGGUUCCUGUCCGCCGCUAAGGGAUCCGUCGGGGCGGGGCCCGGGAUCCUGGGAGUGGGAGCUGGUUCUGAAAGUAAGGUCAGGAAAAUGUUCCUGUACACGCACCCGGAGGCUUUUGCAGGAGGCGGCUGUUGGAGAACCAGGAAAACAAGCCAAGAAACAAGAGAGAGGAAAAAGACCACGCCUCGCUUGGCAGAUUCCUAAUGGCCCAGGAGACCUGAGGCUUUACAGUGGGAGACAAAAAGAACAUUCCCAGCCCCUGCCAUGAGCCUGGACUUGCUCUGCUGGCAGGCGAAGGAAUGCAGCUCUGGCCGCCACAGCUGCUGGUGGCCAGCUGCGGCCUCAGCUCCUGCUGCUCCCACCCCAGCAGGCACAGGGACAAAGGCCUCUUCUCAGCCUGUCCCCUCCAGCCCCCUGGAUCAGUGGGGGCAGAACAUUGACCAGGAGGCUCUGUCACUGACCAGCUCAAUUGCUGUUCCUCUCUGGGCCUUAGUGCCCUUUCUGGAAAAUGGGGGCAGUCUCUGCCUGACUGACUUCUCAGCACCAUUUUGAGAUUCCAAGGAGUUAAAGUACAGAAAUACAGACCUCUCAGCAUCUCUUCUGCCUGAGGGUUGGCCUACACAGAGACCCUCCUGCCUCCAAUGCCCCUCCCUCCCUCCCACUUCACCUGGCUAGCCCCAGCUCCCUCAGCUCAGCUCAGCUCAGCGGGACCAUCCCUUGCUCUGGGGAGCCCUCCCUCACCUUCAGACCAUGCUGCUCCUUCAACGUAUUUAUCACUGUUGUAAUUAAAUAAUUAAUUGUGUAAUUGGAUCUAUCUCCCCACUCAGAUGUGAACUCUAGAAUAAUAAUAGCUGACACAAAAUGCUGACCCAGUGCCAGAGACUUUCCAGGUAUUAACCCAGUUAGUCCCUGUUGUAGGUACUGUUAGUGUUCCCAUCUUACAGAUGUGGUAGCUGAGACAAUGAGAGAUUCAGUAACUUACCUGAAGUCACAGCAAGUUGGAGGCUGAGCCAGAACUUAGCACAAAGAAGGUGCAGAAUCAGGAUUCAAAUCCAGACCCCAGACUAGAAUCAGUAUGCCACUAAUAAGGCAGGUUCAGCUUGUUCCCUGGCUAUCCCAGCUCCCAGAACAUCUGGCAUACAGUCAGUGCUCCAUUUAUGUUGGGUAAAUGAGGACACAAACAGGUGAUGAAUACACAGGAGUAUUUGGAGAAGACUAAAGUGCCUUCCAGGAGUGAGUUUUGCAGGUGCUAUGUGUGGAGCCAAGCCGUGGUGGGGGGAGGGGGUACCCAAUAUAGUACUAAAGAACAAUUAUUAGGCUUCUUUCUGAAACACAUAGGCCAAAAACUUGGGACGUCAUCUUUGAUUCCUCCUUCCACUUCAUCUGCCAGAGCCAUUCAGUCCCCAGGUUCUGCUUGAUGUCUCUCAGUGCACCCCCUCUUCUCCAUCCCUCAACCCCCAUCUUUUUCUUGGAUUUUUGUAGCAUGUCUUACACGGGUGUCUCUGUCUCUAAUUUCUCCUCCUUCAAAGUGGGCCUCUGAAAACAAAGCUAAUUGUGGGUGCCAUCCCUCUUUACCCCCUCCCUCACUAAUGAACCUUCCAUGGCUCCGCAUUGCUUUCUGGAUAAAGCCCACACUCCUCACCAGGGCUUCUACCACCCAACCCCUGCCUCCACCCCUCCAGUCUCACCUCCUGCCCCACUCCUCCACAUGUCCUUUGCCCAAGCUACUCUAUAUAGUAGAUGUUAAGAGCAUGGAAGCAGACAGACCUGGGUUCAAGCCUGGCUUUUGCCAUUUACUAGCUGUGCGAGUUUGUAAAUAAAUCAGUUUCCUUCUCUAAGCCUCAGUUGCCACAUAUGGGAAAAUGGGCAUAAUUAUGAUAGCUCUUCAUAGAAUUGGUGUAAGGAUUAAAUGAAUACAUAAGGUGCUGAACAUACCCCCUGACACUCCCAAUAGUUCCUAUAAUUCUUAUACUUUUCUCUGCUACAAAGAGCACUUCUUACUGUCAGCCUUACUAUUCUUUAUGACCUAGCUCAAAUGUCACCUCUUGGAGGAAAUUUUUCUUGAUAGUCACACUCUGUUCCCCAAGUGAAAUCAUUCUCACUUUGCAGACUCGCUUGCACUUUGCACCUCUAUAAAGCACAUGUAAUAUGGUUGUUGCACUCUUUCCCACAUGACCCCAAGAGUUCCCAGGGAGCAGGAACAAUACCUUCUUGACUCUAGCACCGUGCCUGGCAUGCAGCAGGUACUCAAAAGGUGUCAGUGGAAUUGAGUGGAGGCACUACUUUCAGUGCCUUUCUUGAGCACCUUGCAGUGAGGAGAGCUGAGUGGUGAGAUGGCUGGACUGGGACCUGGUUGCCUGAGUCCCACUCCAGCUUUGGUGCGGGGUACAUUGGUAUACGUGGGAAUGGGAAUGAGUGGAAGAAACCCCUGACCUCUGGGCUCUUUCUUCCUGGCCGGGACUCUUCAGUCCUUUAAGGGAGGGAGAGAAGGGAGAGGAGGUGAGGAGGUCCAGGUGCUGAGCAGGGGUGAGGUGGGGCUAUAAUAGUUGCUGGGCGUGAGUGGGAGCUGGCAGACUCCAGCUGCUCUCAGACCAGGGCGGGGCCUGGCCAGGACAGGGCCCCACAACCCAAGUCCCCGCCUGCCAGGCCCCGCCUCAUCCUGGCACCUGGAUUAAGUGACUUUUCAGGUUGUAAAACUCCAUCUUGAUCUGCAAGGAAGUAGAGUCCACACCUGGCCUUGUCUGGUUGCUGAGCAGGGAGAAAGGGGAGUGUUUCCUUUUCUUCUUUUUGUGUCGGUAACCCCUUGCAAUCCUGGGCACAUCAAAGAAGGUAAUACUCUUUGCAAACCCAAGUGAAGGUCACAUUAUCCCCAGCUGUUGCUUCACUUGCUGCUUCUGCCACUCCCCCUACUUAAAGCCCUUCUCUCACUGCCCGGUACCCUCAGGAUAAAGUCCCAACUCCUAAUCCAACCCCUAAAGCCCUGGGAGGUCUGGCCCCUGCCUCCUGUUGGACUUUCACUUCCCUCUCCCCCUGCUGCCGCCUCUUCUGGCCUUUUCUCAGUUCUCCCAGCACACCUUGCCCCUUCUUUCCUCUGGGCCUUCACGCAUACUGUUUUCUCUGUCUUGAGUGCUUUUCCCUAUCCCCUGGUGAUUUUGUUUCAUGUUUAGUACUUUCGAUGCCUAAGAAAUCUUUGCCUAUCCCAAGAUCAUGAAGAUUCUCCCAUCUGUAUUCUAUAAGUUUAUAGUGUCAGCUUUCACUUUAGGUCCAUGAUUCAUCUUGGAUUAAUUUCUAUGCAUUGUCAGCUAGGGGUUGAGACUCAUUCCCACUCAUUCUUUACAGUUCAGUUUAUCUCUCACCUCCCUUGAGAAGCCUUCCUUGACUGCUCCCAGACUAGGUCAGUUCCUCCCACUCCACAGCCCAUAGCACCCUCUACUUUCUUGUAGCACUUGCCAUAAUUGUAAUUAAACAAUUAUUUGUGUAA
Vicugna pacos (alpaca) is the source of this 3539-nucleotide long non-coding RNA. RefSeq lists it as uncharacterized. The record is from RefSeq and is a predicted model, not a curated record. NCBI's taxonomy places the organism in Eukaryota, Metazoa, Chordata, Mammalia, Artiodactyla, Camelidae.